CGGGAGCUUGCACAGGUGCUGCAUGGCUGUCGUCAGCUCGUGUCGUGAGAUGUUCGGUUAAGUCCGCUAACGAGCGCAACCCUCACUGUGUGUUAUAUGUGUCACACGGGACUGCCGGUUUUAAGCCGGAGGAAGGUGGGAUGACGUCAAGUCAGCAUGGCCUUUAUAUCCUGGGCUACACACACGCUACAAUGGUCGGUACAAUAGGUUGCCAAGCCGCGAGGCGGAGCCAAUCCAAAAAAGCCGGCCUCAGUUCAGAUUGUAGGCUGCAACUCGCCUGCAUGAAGAUGGAGUUGCUAGUAACCGCAGGUCAGCAAUACUGCGGUGAAUACGUUCCCGGGUCUU
This 345-nucleotide ribosomal RNA is filed under the name uncultured Anaerolineaceae bacterium. RNAcentral describes it as "bacterial SSU rRNA". It matches the Rfam family "Bacterial small subunit ribosomal RNA", at positions 1023 to 1382 of the family's 1533-position model. The record is from RNAcentral. Lineage: Bacteria; Bacillati; Chloroflexota; Anaerolineae; Anaerolineales; Anaerolineaceae.